GCCCGGGUGGUGGAAUGGUAGACACAGAGGACUUAAAAUCCUUUGCUUGAAAGAGCGUGUGGGUUCGAAUCCCAUCCUGGGUACCA
This 86-nucleotide transfer RNA is filed under the name Fimbriimonas sp. RNAcentral describes it as "tRNA-Leu". It matches the Rfam family "tRNA". From Rfam's summary of the family: Transfer RNA (tRNA) molecules are approximately 80 nucleotides in length. Their secondary structure includes four short double-helical elements and three loops (D, anti-codon, and T loops). Further hydrogen bonds mediate the characteristic L-shaped molecular structure. tRNAs have two regions of fundamental functional importance: the anti-codon, which is responsible for specific mRNA codon recognition, and the 3' end, to which the tRNAs corresponding amino acid is attached (by aminoacyl-tRNA synthetases). tRNAs cope with the degeneracy of the genetic code in two manners: having more than one tRNA (with a specific anti-codon) for a particular amino acid; and 'wobble' base-pairing, i.e. permitting non-standard base-pairing at the 3rd anti-codon position. Lineage: Bacteria; Bacillati; Armatimonadota; Fimbriimonadia; Fimbriimonadales; Fimbriimonadaceae. The record is from RNAcentral.